GACGAACGCUGGCGGCGUGCCUAAUACAUGCAAGUCGAGCGGACUGAUUAAGAGCUUGCUCUUAUGACGUUAGCGGCGGACGGGUGAGUAACACAUGGGCAACCUGCCCUGUAGAUCGGGAUAACACCGAGAAAUCGGUGCUAAUACCGGGUAAUAUCUGAGAUCACAUGAUCUUAGGUUAAAAGAUGGCUCCGGCUAUCACUACAGGAUGGGCCCGCGGCGCAUUAGCUAGUUGGUAAGGUAAUGGCUUACCAAGGCGACGAUGCGUAGCCGACCUGAGAGGGUGAUCGGCCACACUGGGACUGAGACACGGCCCAGACUCCUACGGGAGGCAGCAGUAGGGAAUCUUCCGCAAUGGACGAAAGUCUGACGGAGCAACGCCGCGUGAGUGAUGAAGGGUUUCGGCUCGUAAAGCUCUGUUGUUAGGGAAGAAACAGUACCGAACGAACUAGGUCGGUACCUUGACGGUACCUAACCAGAAAGCCACGGCUAACUACGUG
RNAcentral lists this ribosomal RNA (500 nucleotides) under uncultured bacterium. Its description in RNAcentral is "partial 16S ribosomal RNA". It matches the Rfam family "Bacterial small subunit ribosomal RNA", at positions 28 to 507 of the family's 1533-position model. The record is from RNAcentral.